AGGUGACCUGGCGCAUAUUGCACGUCGUGGGACCUACCAUGACGAACACAUACUUGAGCGCUU
This 63-nucleotide ribosomal RNA is filed under the name Anopheles pullus. RNAcentral describes it as "partial 5.8S ribosomal RNA". Lineage: Eukaryota; Metazoa; Arthropoda; Insecta; Diptera; Culicidae. The record is from RNAcentral.